This 73-nucleotide transfer RNA is filed under the name Candidatus Stahliibacteriota bacterium. Its description in RNAcentral is "tRNA-His". It matches the Rfam family "tRNA". From Rfam's summary of the family: Transfer RNA (tRNA) molecules are approximately 80 nucleotides in length. Their secondary structure includes four short double-helical elements and three loops (D, anti-codon, and T loops). Further hydrogen bonds mediate the characteristic L-shaped molecular structure. tRNAs have two regions of fundamental functional importance: the anti-codon, which is responsible for specific mRNA codon recognition, and the 3' end, to which the tRNAs corresponding amino acid is attached (by aminoacyl-tRNA synthetases). tRNAs cope with the degeneracy of the genetic code in two manners: having more than one tRNA (with a specific anti-codon) for a particular amino acid; and 'wobble' base-pairing, i.e. permitting non-standard base-pairing at the 3rd anti-codon position. The record is from RNAcentral. Lineage: Bacteria; Candidatus Stahliibacteriota.
GUGAGCGUAGCUCAACGGGUAGAGCGCUUGACUGUGGCUCAAGUGGUUGGGGGUUCAAGUCCCCUCGCUCACC